AAACCAAAGCUGGCGACCGGCGCACGGGUGAGUAACACGUAUCCAACCUGCCUCAUACUCGGGGAUAGCCUUUCGAAAGAAAGAUUAAUAUCCGAUAGCAUAUAUUUCCCGCAUGGGUUUUAUAUAAAGAAAUUCGGUAUGAGAUGGGGAUGCGUUCCAUUAGUUUGUUGGGGGGUAACGGCCCACCAAGACUACGAUGGAUAGGGGUUCUGAGAGGAAGGUCCCCCACAUUGGAACUGAGACACGGUCCAA
This 252-nucleotide ribosomal RNA is filed under the name uncultured bacterium. RNAcentral's name for it is "partial 16S ribosomal RNA". It matches the Rfam family "Bacterial small subunit ribosomal RNA", at positions 79 to 334 of the family's 1533-position model. The record is from RNAcentral.